GACGAACGCUGGCGGCGUGCUUAACACAUGCAAGUCGAACGGUGAAGGGAUCAGCUUGCUGGUUCUGGAUGAGUGGCGAACGGGUGAGUAACACGUGAGUAACCUGCCCCCUUCUUCUGGAUAACCGCAUGAAAGUGUGGCUAAUACGGGAUAUUCUGGGUCUGUCGCAUGUUGGGUCUGGGAAAGAUAUUGUUUCGGUGGGGGAUGGGCUCGCGGCCUAUCAGCUUGUUGGUGGGGUGAUGGCCUACCAAGGCGGUGACGGGUAGCCGGCCUGAGAGGGUGGACGGUCACACUGGGACUGAGACACGGCCCAGACUCCUACGGGAGGCAGCAGUGGGGAAUAUUGCACAAUGGGCGCAAGCCUGAUGCAGCGACGCCGCGUGAGGGAUGGAGGCCUUCGGGUUGUAAACCUCUUUCGCCAGUGAAGCAGGCCUGCUCCUUGUGGGUGGGUUGACGGUAGCUGGAUAAGAAGCGCCGGCUAACUACGUG
RNAcentral lists this ribosomal RNA (489 nucleotides) under uncultured bacterium. RNAcentral's name for it is "partial 16S ribosomal RNA". It matches the Rfam family "Bacterial small subunit ribosomal RNA", at positions 28 to 507 of the family's 1533-position model. The record is from RNAcentral.